GGAUUCAUUGAAAGAAUGUGAACUGAAGAGGAACAGCAUUUAUUUAGAAGAGUUGCAGAAAGACUGGGAAACUAACAUGCUUUUUUUCACUACAUUUACCAUAGCGGCGUUUUGACGAUUGUAGUCACAGAUCGUGGUCCAUGAUUUCGCUGCUAGGUGACAAGGGCCUGCCCUUAAACUCCCAAUAAAGCACUCGUGCCUUAUCGGGAAGUUAGGGAUUCAGUGUAAAGCACGCAGAACGUAAGACCCCGCGAGAUAUUCUCGCAGGGAAAGACGAUUCAGCAGCGAAUCAGGGCCCGCUGAUGGCAGGAAUCCGUUUAUUACAAAGCAAAGCGUCGUGGAUGAACUUUUUAAUAUCGGAACAAAAAUCAUCCGGGUUAAUAUAAAUGUGUUGUGCAGUGGUGAUUCAGUAGAUGGGACGGAUCUAAACGUGAUUUUCGGUGGGUGGCAAAAUCGGGCACGUCGGCUCGAUCGGUUUAGGUCCAAAUUCGAAACGCCGCAAAGCGAGGGUUGCGAGUGAAAUUGUUUGGUUUCGAUAUAAUGUUUUUAUUUUUACUCUGAAAGUGUAUUAUUUAUUUUCUCAGCUCCAUUUCCUCGAAAUCCACUACUAAGUACACGACUUCCUCGUUUUACGCGGUAACUUUAUAUUAGGUUUCACUUACACGCGCUUGCGAUUUAAUUUACGCGAUUUUGUGCUGUGAAAUAGUGUUUACUGUCAUUGAUUGGGAGGAACGGAUUGAAUUAAUACCGGUUACCAUCUUGGCGAUGUAUUGCUGAUUAGUGAACUAAAAACCAAAAGAAAAAAUGUAAAAGUUGCCUAAAACUGAAAGGAUUUCGGAUACCAUUUAUUCAUGCAGCUUAGUAAUAACAUUCACAGUUUUUAAAAAUCGUCGAAGAAAGAGCGAUCUCGAUUCGUUCAAAUGAUCUUGGGAAUUGAAUUAUUAGGCAUUAAGAAAAGUCUGGCAAGCGCGCCGGACUACAGAACUUUCACACAGCAUUAGAACGUUCUCUGCUCACCACAAGAUGGCGUUGUGGACCUAUAAAAGCCAUACACGGGUGUUAUUGGGACGAUAAUUAACCAUGGCAUUUGAACAUUUGAACCAAAGACUAUAAAUGGGUGCUGAUUUAAUAUUUUUAUAAUAUAAUGUUCUGUACCGUUCUUACAAAUCAUCGAAGAAAUAUAUUUUAUAUCUUCGAAGAGUAUGGCGCAUUUUUACCAAAGACGAAAAGAUCUCGGAAGGGUUAAAGCGGUAAAGAAUCAUCUCGCAUUUUCGCCUUGCUCAAAUGCGUUUGGGAACGGAUUGAAAUAAUACAAUGUAUGAUCUCAGCGAUUUAUUGCUGAUAAGUAAACAAAACAAUAAAGUCUUGCCACCAUUGUUCUACAAAUCAACAGAUUUAAAACAAUGAGGACUGAUUAAGCGGAAUGCGACAAUAAGAAAUGAAAAAUUACUGGUGAACUUGCAGUUCCGUGGUCAAUGAAAAAAGUGCAAUUUUGGAUAACCGAGUUGCUGCUACUAGACGUACAUUUAACAAAAUAUUUUUGGCCAGUAAAAAGUGAUUCGAAAAAUGUAAAAGUUGCCUAAAACUGAAAGAAGACGCACUUUCAGAUAGUAUUUAUUUAUCCUGGACAGUUUUUAAAAAUUGUCGAACAAAUAGAUUUUAAACAGCAACAGAUUAUUAAAAAUCUGCUUAACCACGGAAUUUUGUCCCGGCCUUUCGACAAAGAAUUAGAAAGUUCUCUACCACCGCAAGAUGGCGUUGUGGACCUAUAAAAGCCAAACCCGAAUCGACAGACACUGUAUCACUGGGACGAUCUGGAAGCAAUUAUGGAAAGACUACCCAAUCGCAGAUCGUUUUCAGUAAAGAUUGAUGAACUUAAAUGAACUUUUACAAUUGUCUUUAAAUAAGUGCUGGAUAAGUUUUCACCAGAAGUUGCAAAGACACGUGAACUUAUCGUUGAUGUAGGAAAGUCAGGAAUACCCAAGACAGGAAGACUAUCGUAAUGCUAUCGUAAACAGCGUGUUAUGGGAGCAAAAAAAAAAUACAAGACGAAACAAACAGCUAAUCAUAUAAAGAAUAGCUGCAUAUAGUUACGAGGUAUGCGAGCUAAAAGAAAGAACCAUGAGAAUGCUGUAGGUAACAGAGAUGGAUUUCCGGAGGAGGAAAAUCAAGACUGAAAAAAAUUUCGAAUGAAAGAAUUGGCGCUGCGAUGAAAGUAGGACACACGCACAAUCACGAGUGAAAUAACAACAAAACAACUAAUUACUAUUAACCUACUAUUACCUAAUUAAUUAAU
Molecule: long non-coding RNA, 2296 nt
Organism: Cylas formicarius (sweet potato weevil)
Lineage: Eukaryota; Metazoa; Arthropoda; Insecta; Coleoptera; Brentidae
Exons: 4
Source: RefSeq, a predicted model, not a curated record